UCACCGCGCGGCCGCAGGCCGUGCAGCGCCGCGUGCGCGCCUCGCCGCCACGCAGCUGCUUGCCGGCCGCGUCACCGCGCGACGUGGACGCCCGUGACCUCUGCGUCUCGACCUCUUGAGCGCCUGCGCGGCCGACCUCGAGCUCACUUACUCCGGCGACCGAAAGCACCCAGUGAAGCUCCACCGUCCAAUACCCUCUACACGCAACCCCUCUGGCCAAUUCGAGUUCUCCAACACCUUCGCCAUAUCCUUGCGAACCCCGUGUACGCCCAGGAACCCUCCCUGCCCCUCUCAAUCGCCCGGGCGCCGUCUUUCUUCCUCAGCUCCGGCUGAAAACGCCGCCGAGGAGCACCUCAACGUGGACAGGCCACCUCGAGCCAUUGCAGGACAAGAUACGGCCACCAUCAGGUGCGCACUAGUCCGGGCGAGCUUCCCCGCUGCUCCAAUGCCGCCGACGAGCACUCCAGCGCCGAAACCACGAUCUCCGGCGAGUUCCUCUGUUUUCAGUCGCGGCCAGGGACUUCGGGCGACAAUUUGAAGUUUCCCAGGGGUCUAAUUGCAGAGACUGUGACUCAGGUGAAUAGUGCUAUAAGGACUUGUUUGUAGAUGUUUUGUUGAAUCUUUAAAAAUUCAUAUCUAGAGUUUGGUAGCUCCAAUUUUGGUGAACCAAAUUUUGUUGUGCUCCUUGAGAUGUCUAGUUUUUAUUAAAAAUAUGAAACUGACCAUGUUUUGUAGUAAAAUAAUUGGUUAUGAUUUAUGCCUUUUAAUUAUGUUUAAAAAAGGAGAAAUUCAUAUCUUAUUCUGUGUAGAUCCUAUUGCCCUGAAAUUUUUAUGGUGUUCUCAUGAUGUUAUGUGAAUGUUGCAGUAAAAAUUUCAUGUUCAGUAAAUGAUAUAUGGUUAAGUUAUUAAUUUAUCUUAUUUAAUGCUUAUUAAAUAGUUUAAAAUUAAACUAAAAAUAAAUAAAUGUAAAAUAUGGUUCCACUGCCUUUAUAUGAGGUCUUUAUAUCAUACAAAUACAUAAUUUAGCUAUGUGUUUGUAGAAAAUGUCGAGUUUCUUAUUUAUCUUGAUGCUACAUGCUUUCUUGUGAUGGAAAUUUAUCUUUUUCAUGGAAAUUGCUAUACUUAUACAAAUGGUAUGAAAUUUAUACAGUAGACUUUGGAGAGCAUAUAUGUGCUUCUGUAGUUUUCUCAGAUUUUAUUGUGUACUUUUGAUAUAUGGUUAUUACUUUGUCUAUUUAUCUAAAUAAAUUAAUAAAGACAUAAAAAGAAUUUAUUUAGGGAUGACCAUGAUAUUUUCUAGUAUCUCUUUGAUGUAUUUCAACUUUUGGUGAGCUGGGUUUUGCCCAGGUUCAAGUUUGGAACAUAAAUGAAAUAUGAUUUCUCUAUAAUUUAAUUGUUAGUGGUUUCUUGAUAGUUUUUAGAGCAUUAUGAAUUUCUCUAGGUAAAUAAUGUUGGAUAUGAAACUUGUCUAUAACAAAGUUGUAUAGAAUUCAUGUAUCUAGCUGGUGUUAAAUUUUGGUGGCAUUUGGCUCUAUAGUUUCUGAGUUAUGCCUGUUUAAAUUUAAGUUUCAGAAAUGGUUUCUUUCUGUCAAAUCCUGGAUCAGUUUCUGUAGUUGUGCAAUUUCAACCUACUAAACUUAUGAAUUAUGUUUUCAUGAUAAAAGAUGAAUUGUAGUAAUUUUCAUAAGCUUUCCAAAAUGUUAUGGAUCAUGAAUUUUGAUGAUCUAGAACUCUGGUUAUAGAUGUAUGAAUCUUAAUGUCUGAUUCUGUCCAAGGUCUGGACAGAAUUGUUUAUUCAUACUGUUUGGCCAUGUUAUCUAUUAAAUCAGUUCUCGAAGAUAAUAAUAAAGUUGUAGAAAAUUAUAUAAGCUUUCCAGAAAGUCUAAUAUCACCUUUAUUGGAUGCUUGGAUCUCUAAUUAUGGUUGAAUAAAGUUGUGUAUAUGCUGCUGUCCUGGUUAUGUUGGUAAAUAGAGUUGAUUGUUUUAGCUAGCCUUUACUUAAAUAAUGAUUAGCUUAAUUUCCAAAUUAGAAUUUGAGUGCUUUUGGGAUUAUGUGAUGACCUGAGGUCAUUAUCUUUUAAUGACCUUUGGCACUUAAUUAUUGUUUGAUGUUAAUACUUAAUUAUUGUCUUUAAUAUUUAAUUAAGAAUUUAUUAAGAUAAAUAGAAAGCAUAAUCAUUUUAGGUUUUGAUUGAUCUUUGGGAUUGAUUGAUAACCAGUGGCUACUUGACAUGAUAUGCUCCCUGGUUAAGGAUUCUUUCAUGUAAAUGAUCUUUGUUGCUUAAUAACUACACAACAUUGCUUAAUGAAGAUGAUAAAAUUUGCUUAGUAGUAAUCUAUGCUUUGAUAACUAAGUUAGUUUGUUUCUAUACCAUGAAGGUGAGUUGUACUCGAGGUAGUUUUGUUUGUUGUUAUCAUCCAAGAACAUGUAACCUGUCUUUAUCAUGUCAUGAGCAUCUCAUUGAUCAUGCAUAUGCACCUCUACGUGUAGACUACGCUCCAGAGGAAUCUGAUCCUCAGUGGGUUGCUUCCGAGUUUGUGGGUCCAUCUGGUUUUGCUGAGUUGUCGGACUUCCCUUCCGGUCAAGGCAAGCCCCGGACAUUAAACCCUAUCCUUGUAUUUUCAUAAAGUUAUUUAUAUCACUUGAGUUAAUAUGAUGCAUUAGGUGAAUAGGAGUUGAGUGAAUCCUAUUUGCUGCAUUAUCUACCUUGAUGAUUUCCAUAUUAACCUUGAUACCUGCUUUAUGAAAAUGCUUAGUAUGCUUAGCCCUGCUUAUUAGAUAAGUUUUCAAAUGAGAACGUUUGAAGGGUCGUUGUGGAAUACUGUUAUGGUUAAUAAUGUUUAAACUUGAGACCGGUCGGUGGACUUGCUUUAAGAAUGGAGUCUUAAAGUAGUGUCUCCAACUGUGUCGAUUAAGGACCGUACCGUUGAUUGGCCUGUUGUGAUUGAGAACUUUGAGUACAGCCCACAUGCGGCGGUAAGCCUUACCUAUAGCUAUUCCGAUACUUGAGAACGGCUAACCGCGUACUGGGAGUGGAAAGAUGGCGAGAGUAGCGUGUACCCACCUUACGGAUCUGAGAUGACCGGGAAACAUCUAGAUUGGCUGUAGGAUGGUGGUGUACUGUACUCUCGGGUGACGCUGGACCCGUUCUUGUAUGGGAGGAUCUAUAGAAAAGGUUGACAUAUGCAAGAUUAAGUUCUACAUAUGUCGUGUGGUACUGAAUCCCCAGCUGGGUUUAAUCGAUUCGAAUCGCCGUGUUUCCUCGGAUAUGGAGCCUCAAUCCUCACACCAUCAUCGUAGUAACAAGUGAAUCUUUGGUAUAAGAAAGAUGUGGUAUACUUAUGCAAGUUUGAUAAUAGUUUUGGUUAGUCAUAAAUGAUAACCUUGAGUUAAAACUUGAAAGUAGGUUUAAUCUUAGUAAGCUUUUAUGCAAAAGAAAUGCUUUGAUCUUGCUAAAGCUUUACCUUGAAUCCCUAUAGCCUGCAUACCUGAGUCUUCACCUCUUUUCUAGUCGGUUAAGUCUUGUUGAGUACUUUUGUACUCAGGGUUUUAUAACCCCUGUUGCAGGUGCUGACUUAGACUGCUAAUGGAGGUCAUGUCGGUGGGCGCGACAUGAUUUAUCCACCUCUUCUACCUUAGAAGCUUCACCUAAGAUGCUUCCGCUACUCUAUACACCUUUUGGAAAUUUAGUUAAGUUUAUACUUCAUCAUAUGUUGUAAAUUAAGUUAUAAAUCUUCCGCACUCUGAUGUAAGUUAUUUUUGUAACAAAUGUUGUAAUGUUGUGGUAACUCCAUGUUGAUCCUGUAUGAGAUAAAAUGUGGAUGAUUCGGGGUCCUCCGAGGAUACCCGACAAACUUCUUGAGUCAUUUGGAACUCGUGCAUGCCGAUCACAAGUCUUGGAGACAAUGAUGGGUGCAUGUGGGCCACUUAAUUCAGGAGGUUCUGCCACAGCUGGUAUCAGAGCUCAUACAUGGAUCUUCUGCAACAUUACUUGUGAAAAAUUUCAAAAGGAAUUUACAAAUUAAAAGUUUUGAGGAUAACAACUUAUAAAUAUUCCUUAACUUUUCUUAUGCUUGCUGUUCGGGUUCUACGAAGACUUUCUGCUGACUCAAAUAGAAGACAUUAAAAGAGGCUUCAAGUCUUCGACAAGCCAAGUAAAGAAUCAAACUACUCCAACAAUGCUUUGUCAACAGUCUUGCAGCCUCCCUUUUGAAGCAAUAAAGAUAGUGUAUAAAGUAUGCCCUAUAUAAGCAAUUAUCUCCUAGCUAACGUUGUAAAGACGUAUGGGACGAGCAUAUUGCAUAUCUUGCAUAACAUGACAAUAUAAUGAUACUUAAAAGCCCCUCCUUAUGCUUCAAAACAGUUAUUAUUCGUUAUAGCUGUUUUAUUGAUGAAUCUCAUCAUGUACCAGGUUUCGUUAACUGAUUGAUAAUCUUUUACUCCAUAAGAUCCUAAUCCUUGAUUCAUUUGUUAUGCAUGUGACCUUCCUUGAUUUCAUCUAAUUCGGACACAUGCUACCUCCUUGAUAUCUUUUGUCAACAUUUUUGUUGAUUGAAUGUCACUAUGAUUGUGUCCUCUUAAGGUACCAUGACUUGUGACUUAGGUAACAAUGUCAAAACCUGGGAUCUCCUAUGGCUCAUGACCAUGAGGAAAUACUGCUGGGCGCUCAUUGUUAUCAAAGUAUAUGAUCAUGAUCCCUUAUAGUCCACAAUUAGGGUGUUUCAUUCUUUGGACACUCCUUAGGGAUUCAAAGUUGUCCUUUUGAGUUCCCUAAACACCUUGUGAUUGUGAUCGACUUUUGAUCUCAGUUACAUUCUUGGUCUUGUGAGACAUGGGUUAUUGUUGUGGUGCCCUAUAGUGGUGCCAUGUCCCGUGACCACGGUGCCGCGUCGGAACCUAGAGUCUUUUGUGUGUCCGGAUGACACAAAUUUCUACUGGGCGCGUGCAGGUAUCGAGGUUAUGGACAUGAUCCAUUAUAGCCCCACAACUAAGGUGCCCUCGCUCUUUGAGCCCUAUCAUGGGAACCCAUGCCCAUAUCUUUGUGGGAAUUACCUAAAGCCCCUGACUUGGAUAACCAACAUAUGUUGCUUGAAAGCUAUUGUAACUGUACUCUAUAGUAGGUACCAUGAUCCGUGAUCACGUUAUAGCGUCGAACCUCGUAGUCUCCUGUGGACUGCAGCCAUAAGGAAAUACUACAGGGUGCUCGUUAAACAUCGGGAUCUCUGGUCAUGCUCCACUAUAAUCUACUGUUAGUGUGCUUUCAUCCUCCUUGGAAGCUCAUUUGGAGAUUCAUAUCUUCGUAUGAAUUCUCUAAAAUUCCUGAUUGAUUACAACUUCUUGUUGAUCUUAGUUGUAAUUCUUGGACCAAUCGUAAUUGUUGUAUGAACUUCUCAAAAGUUAAUGUGCUUGACACAUUUCCUUUUCCAUUACUUAACCCCAUGGGUUUUAGUACCCUGGAAAUCUCGGGACGAGAUUUCUUUAAGGGGGAAGGGCUGUAACAUCCCUGAUGUUACGAACACUAAAACUGGAUCAUGUCAUCAUAAGCAUUGCAAAGCAUAUUUGUUAAGCACAUUAUUAUGCAUCAACUUAAAAUAAGGUUAUUUUGGUUGAUUGUGCUUAGGAAAUUAAAGUGUGCUUAUAUUGUGUAUGGAUGUUUGUGUUGGUGAUUAAAACCCUGGGUGGAAGUUUUUCCGAAAGACUUAAGGGGGGAAACCCUAGUUUCCAAAACCCUAGAAUUUGUCCCCUUUUGUGCAAUUCAAAAACAAAGCAAAAUUUGAAGUUGAGUUCAAAAGCAAAGUUGUAAAUCUUGUCAAGAUGUACAACUUUGGUGUUUUGAGUUUUUGAAGUUUCAGUACAAAAUUUAAAGUAAUUUUGAAAAUACAAUUUUCCAGAAAUUGUUCCCUUUUCCGAUUUGAAUCCCCAAUUCAAAAUCUAUUUGGAAUUUUGAAAAGUGGUCAACAUGAAAGUUGUAGGGCUCAAAAAGUUGAACAACUUUCAUGUUGGGAGUUUUUCAAGUUGUUUGGAAAAAUUAAAAGUAAUUUUGGAAAUUCUAAUCUGCUCCAAUUCAAAAUUUGGAAUUUCCCCAAUUUGGGAUUUUGAAAUUCAAACUGUUUUGCCAAAUUCACACUUUUCCACUCAGAUUUAGCUUUGGUCACCAAAAGGAGUUUUGUAGCUUGUAAAAUUCUUCACAACUUCCAUUUUGGUGGAAUUUUGUCUUCAGUUCAAAAUUUGGACGAAUUUUGCAAAACCACAAAACUGGUUGGAUAAAGCUUGCUACAGUAUCCGGAUAUGGAUCACGAGUCCAGUCACCGCGCGGCCGCAGGCCGUGCAGCGCCGCGUGCGCGCCUCGCCGCCACGCAGCUGCUUGCCGGCCGCGUCACCGCGCGACGUGGACGCCCGUGACCUCUGCGUCUCGACCUCUUGAGCGCCUGCGCGGCCGACCUCGAGCUCACUUACUCCGGCGACCGAAAGCACCCAGUGAAGCUCCACCGUCCAAUACCCUCUACACGCAACCCCUCUGGCCAAUUCGAGUUCUCCAACACCUUCGCCAUAUCCUUGCGAACCCCGUGUACGCCCAGGAACCCUCCCUGCCCCUCUCAAUCGCCCGGGCGCCGUCUUUCUUCCUCAGCUCCGGCUGAAAACGCCGCCGAGGAGCACCUCAACGUGGACAGGCCACCUCGAGCCAUUGCAGGACAAGCUACGGCCACCAUCAGGUGCGCACUAGUCCGGGCGAGCUUCCCCGCUGCUCCAAUGCCGCCGACGAGCACUCCAGCGCCGAAACCACGAUCUCCGGCGAGUUCCUCUGUUUUCAGUCGCGGCCAGGGACUUCGGGCGACAAUUUGAAGUUUCCCAGGGGUCUAAUUGCAGAGACUGUGACUCAGGUGAAUAGUGCUAUAAGGACUUGUUUGUAGAUGUUUUGUUGAAUCUUUAAAAAUUCAUAUCUAGAGUUUGGUAGCUCCAAUUUUGGUGAACCAAAUUUUGUUGUGCUCCUUGAGAUGUCUAGUUUUUAUUAAAAAUAUGAAACUGACC
Molecule: long non-coding RNA, 7030 nt
Filed under: Sorghum bicolor (sorghum)
Lineage: Eukaryota; Viridiplantae; Streptophyta; Magnoliopsida; Poales; Poaceae
Description: long non-coding RNA (SBIC_LNC018380)
Source: RNAcentral